This 474-nucleotide ribosomal RNA is filed under the name uncultured bacterium. RNAcentral describes it as "bacterial SSU rRNA". It matches the Rfam family "Bacterial small subunit ribosomal RNA", at positions 335 to 799 of the family's 1533-position model. The record is from RNAcentral.
ACUCCUACGGGAGGCAGCAGUGGGGAAUAUUGCACAAUGGGGGAAACCCUGAUGCAGCCAUGCCGCGUGUGUGAAGAAGGCCUUCGGUUGUAAAGCACUUUCAGUAGGGAGGAAGGUAGUGUAGUUAACACCUGCACCUAUUUGACGUUACCUACAGAAGAAGCACCGGCUAACUCCGUGCCAGCAGCCGCGGUAAUACGGAGGGUGCGAGCGUUAAUCGGAAUUACUGGGCGUAAAGCGCAUGCAGGCGGCCUGUUAAGUCAGAUGUGAAAGCCCGGGGCUUAACCUCGGAAUUGCAUUUGAAACUGGCAGGCUAGAGUCUUGUAGAGGGGGGUAGAAUUUCAGGUGUAGCGGUGAAAUGCGUAGAGAUCUGAAGGAAUACCCAGUGGCGAAGGCGGCCCCCUGGACAAAGACUGACGCUCAGAUGCGAAAGCGUGGGGAGCAAACAGGAUUAGAUACCCUGGUAGGAUAGCG